Molecule: ribosomal RNA, 315 nt
Filed under: Triticum aestivum (bread wheat)
Lineage: Eukaryota; Viridiplantae; Streptophyta; Magnoliopsida; Poales; Poaceae
Description: partial small subunit ribosomal RNA
Source: RNAcentral
AUGUCAUCCCUUGAGCUCGGCACCUGUUCGCAUAUGCCCUGUUCGAAGAGUGAGUCAGUGCGUGUCCGUGCUCUGUUUUACGCGCGCGUGUGUGUGUUUUGGUUCAGGUGCAAGCCCAUGGAUGCUGAAGACUAUGAGGAGUACAUACCUCUUCUUUAUGAAGUUCUCGCAGGUCAGCAACAUGAGGUGAUUAAUGCACAUGCAUAUCUAUCUGAUUUGUGUGUUACUUCCAUCAUGUAUCUAGACUGGCAGUCAUAUUCCUCAGUUACUCAAGGGUGUAUGGCAUGCUGGAUCUUCUUUGAGGGCAUGAUUUAG